GUUGUAUGGUUAAGUGACUAAGCGUAUGCGGUGGAUGCCUUGGCAGUUAGAGGCGAUGAAGGACGUGUUAAUCUGCGAUAAGCAUUGGGAAGUUGAUAAAAGACGUUAUACCCAAUGAUUUCCGAAUGGGGAAACCCGGUACUCUUUGAGUAUCAUCUGCAACUGAAUACAUAGGUUGUAGAGGCAAACGCAGGGAACUGAAACAUCUAAGUACCUGUAGGAACAGAAAUCAAUUGAGAUUUCGUUAGUAGCGGCGAGCGAACGCGAAUUAGCCCUUAAGCUUUUUAUGAGUUAGUGGAACGGUCUGGAAAGUCCGGCGAUACAGGGUGAUAGCCCCGUACACGAAAACAAUUUUAAAGUGAAAUCGAGUAGGUCGGGACACGUGAUAUCUUGACUGAACAUGGGGGGACCAUCCUCCAAGGCUAAAUACUCCUAACUGACCGAUAGUGAACCAGUACCGUGAGGGAAAGGCGAAAAGAACCCCUGUGAGGGGAGUGAAAUAGAACCUGAAACCGCAUACGUACAAGCAGUGGGAGCCCCUUCGGGGGUGACUGCGUACCUUUUGUAUAAUGGGUCAGCGACUUACAUUCUGUAGCAAGGUUAACCGUAUAGGGGAGCCGUAGGGAAACCGAGUCUUAACUGGGCGUCGAGUUGCAGGGUGUAGACCCGAAACCGAGUGAUCUACCCAUGGCCAGGUUGAAGGUUGAGUAACAUCAACUGGAGGACCGAACCCACUAAUGUUGAAAAAUUAGGGGAUGAGCUGUGGGUAGGGGUGAAAGGCCAAUCAAACUCGGAGAUAGCUGGUUCUCCCCGAAAGCUAUUUAGGUAGCGCCUCGGACUUAUGCCACUGGGGGUAGAGCACUGUUUCGGCUAGGGGGUCAUCCCGACUUACCAACCCGAUGCAAACUCCGAAUACCAGUGAGUACUAUCCGGGAGACACACGGCGGGUGCUAACGUCCGUCGUGGAGAGGGAAACAACCCAGACCGCCAGCUAAGGUCCCAAAGUUAUCACUAAGUGGGAAACGAUGUGGGAAGGCUCAGACAGCUAGGAGGUUGGCUUAGAAGCAGCCACCCUUUAAAGAAAGCGUAAUAGCUCACUAGUCGAGUCGGCCUGCGCGGAAGAUGUAACGGGGCUAAGUGAUACACCGAAGCUGCGGCAAUGCGAUUUAUCGUAUUGGGUAGGGGAGCGUUCUGUAAGCGGUUGAAGGUGUGCUGUAAGGCAUGCUGGACGUAUCAGAAGUGCGAAUGCUGACAUGAGUAACGACAAAGCGGGUGAAAAACCCGCUCGCCGGAAGACCAAGGUUUCCUGUCCAAUGCUAAUCAGGGCAGGGUAAGUCGACCCCUAAGGUGAGGCCGAGAGGCGUAAUCGAUGGGAAACAGGUUAAUAUUCCUGUACCGACAUGUACUGCGAUGGGGGGACGGAGAAGGCUAAAUGGGCCAGGCGUUGGUUGUCCUGGUUUAAGUGUGUAGGUUGAUGGUUUAGGUAAAUCCGGACCGUCUUAAGACUGAGACACGAUAUCGAGACUCUACGGAGUUGAAGUCAUUGAUGCCAUGCUUCCAGGAAAAGCCUCUAAGCUUCAGGUACAUGUUGAUCGUACCCCAAACCGACACAGGUGGUCAGGUAGAGAAUACUAAGGCGCUUGAGAGAACUCGGGUGAAGGAACUAGGCAAAAUAGUACCGUAACUUCGGGAGAAGGUACGCUGCUGACGGUGAUGGGACUUGCUCCCUAAGCUGUUGGCAGUCGCAGUGACCAGGUGGCUGGGACUGUUUAUUAAAAACACAGCACUCUGCAAACUCGAAAGAGGACGUAUAGGGUGUGACACCUGCCCGGUGCCGGAAGGUUAAUUGAUGGGGUUAUCUUCGGAGAAGCUCUUGAUCGAAGCCCCGGUAAACGGCGGCCGUAACUAUAACGGUCCUAAGGUAGCGAAAUUCCUUGUCGGGUAAGUUCCGACCUGCACGAAUGG
Molecule: ribosomal RNA, 1965 nt
Filed under: Corallincola luteus
Lineage: Bacteria; Pseudomonadati; Pseudomonadota; Gammaproteobacteria; Alteromonadales; Psychromonadaceae
Description: Corallincola sp. DASS28 partial 23S ribosomal RNA
Rfam family: Bacterial large subunit ribosomal RNA
Source: RNAcentral